RNAcentral lists this ribosomal RNA (492 nucleotides) under uncultured bacterium. RNAcentral's name for it is "partial 16S ribosomal RNA". It matches the Rfam family "Bacterial small subunit ribosomal RNA", at positions 29 to 507 of the family's 1533-position model. The record is from RNAcentral.
AGUGAACGCUGGCGGUAGGCCUAACACAUGCAAGUCGAACGGCAGCACAGUAAGAGCUUGCUCUUACGGGUGGCGAGUGGCGGACGGGUGAGGAAUACAUCGGAAUCUACUUUUUCGUGGGGGAUAACGUAGGGAAACUUACGCUAAUACCGCAUACGACCUACGGGUGAAAGCAGGGGAUCUUCGGACCUUGCGCGAUUGAAUGAGCCGAUGUCGGAUUAGCUAGUUGGCGGGGUAAAGGCCCACCAAGGCGACGAUCCGUAGCUGGUCUGAGAUGAUGAUCAGCCACACUGGAACUGAGACACGGUCCAGACUCCUACGGGAGGCAGCAGUGGGGAAUAUUGGACAAUGGGCGCAAGCCUGAUCCAGCUAUACCGCGUGGGUGAAGAAGGCCUUCGGGUUGUAAAGCCCUUUUGUUGGGAAAGAAAAGCAGCAGGUUAAUACCCCGCUGUUCUGACGGUACCCAAAGAAUAAGCACCGGCUAACUUCGUG